Molecule: long non-coding RNA, 425 nt
Organism: Myxocyprinus asiaticus (Chinese sucker)
Lineage: Eukaryota; Metazoa; Chordata; Actinopteri; Cypriniformes; Catostomidae
Exons: 3
Source: RefSeq, a predicted model, not a curated record
CAGACAUCAAUGCAUAGUUUUCUAAAUGCAAGCAAGCUAUGCUCCCCACUCUGGAACAGCCCUCUUACCCCAGUUCAUGAGGACAAUUCUGUAACAAGCAGUUUCCCUAAUAAUGCGAGCAAACAAAGUGAAGGAAAAGUUACAAGUGAGUUGAACACAGCUAAACAAAAGAACACUGGCAUGCAGAUCCAAAUUUGUGGACUUCAUGAGACUGUUGUGCCCAUGAUGGUUCUGAAACAAUGAAACAAACCAAAUCUAGGCAGGGGCUUAACAGCAAAGUCAACAAGCAGGAAUGUGGAAGGCAAAGAUUCCGAACACAAUCGAAAGGUCACAGAUUAUUAUCCUAUUAGACGGAGUUGCAGGAGAAGCAAAGUGGAGAUAAAGGUUUGAAAACCCUUCAAGGAUUUGUAGCGCUACCAAGAGAC